RNAcentral lists this ribosomal RNA (393 nucleotides) under uncultured bacterium. RNAcentral describes it as "bacterial SSU rRNA". It matches the Rfam family "Bacterial small subunit ribosomal RNA", at positions 505 to 898 of the family's 1533-position model. The record is from RNAcentral.
GUGCCAGCAGCCGCGGUAAGACGUAGGGGGCCAGCGUUGUUCGGAAUUACUGGGUGUAAAGGGUUCGUAGGCGGUGCGGCAAGUCGGGAGUGAAAUCUCUGGGCUCAACCCAGAGGCUGCUUCCGAAACUGCUGUGCUUGAGUGUGAGAGAGGCUCGUGGAAUUGCAGGUGUAGCGGUGAAAUGCGUAGAUAUCUGCAGGAACACCCGUGGCGAAAGCGGCGAGCUGGAUCACUACUGACGCUGAGGAACGAAAGCUAGGGGAGCAAACAGGAUUAGAUACCCUGGUAGUCCUAGCCCUAAACGAUCAGGACUUGGGGUGCCGCCCGUUCGGGCGUCGUCCCGGAGCUAACGCGUUAAGUCCUGCACCUGGGGAGUACGGUCGCAAGACUGAA